This 600-nucleotide ribosomal RNA is filed under the name Escherichia coli. RNAcentral describes it as "bacterial SSU rRNA". It matches the Rfam family "Bacterial small subunit ribosomal RNA", at positions 44 to 634 of the family's 1533-position model. The record is from RNAcentral. Lineage: Bacteria; Pseudomonadati; Pseudomonadota; Gammaproteobacteria; Enterobacterales; Enterobacteriaceae.
GGGGAGGCUACCUGCAGUCGAACGGUAACAGGAAACAGCUUGCUGUUUUGCUGACGAGUGGCGGACGGGUGAGUAAUGUCUGGGAAACUGCCUGAUGGAGGGGGAUAACUACUGGAAACGGUAGCUAAUACCGCAUAACGUCGCAAGACCAAAGAGGGGGACCUUCGGGCCUCUUGCCAUCGGAUGUGCCCAGAUGGGAUUAGCUAGUAGGUGGGGUAACGGCUCACCUAGGCGACGAUCCCUAGCUGGUCUGAGAGGAUGACCAGCCACACUGGAACUGAGACACGGUCCAGACUCCUACGGGAGGCAGCAGUGGGGAAUAUUGCACAAUGGGCGCAAGCCUGAUGCAGCCAUGCCGCGUGUAUGAAGAAGGCCUUCGGGUUGUAAAGUACUUUCAGCGGGGAGGAAGGGAGUAAAGUUAAUACCUUUGCUCAUUGACGUUACCCGCAGAAGAAGCACCGGCUAACUCCGUGCCAGCAGCCGCGGUAAUACGGAGGGUGCAAGCGUUAAUCGGAAUUACUGGGCGUAAAGCGCACGCAGGCGGUUUGUUAAGUCAGAUGUGAAAUCCCCGGGCUCAACCUGGGAACUGCAUCUGAUACU